Molecule: ribosomal RNA, 466 nt
Filed under: uncultured bacterium
Lineage: Bacteria
Description: bacterial SSU rRNA
Rfam family: Bacterial small subunit ribosomal RNA
Source: RNAcentral
AUACGGGAGGCAGCAGUGGGGAAUUUUGCGCAAUGGGCUAACGCCUGACGCAGCAACGCCGCGUGGAGGAUGAAGGUCUUUGGAUUGUAAACUCCUGUCAGCAGGGAAAAAGCGAGUCGACCUAACACGUCGGUGAGUUGAUUGUACCUGCAGAGGAAGCCCCGGCUAACUCUGUGCCAGCAGCCGCGGUAAUACAGAGGGGGCAAGCGUUAUUCGGAAUUAUUGGGCGUAAAGGGCGCGUAGGCGGCUUGGCAAGUGGAAGGUGAAAUCCCUCGGCUUAACCGAGGAACUGCCUUCCAGACUGCUUUGCUUGAGGCCGGGAGAGGCGAGUGGAAUUCCCAGUGUAGCGGUGAAAUGCGUAGAUAUUGGGAGGAACACCAGUGGCGAAGGCGGCUCGCUGGACCGGUUCUGACGCUGAGGCGCGAAAGCGUGGGGAGCAAACGGGAUUAGAUACCCGCGUAGUCCC